Molecule: ribosomal RNA, 188 nt
Filed under: Helicosporidium sp. ATCC 50920
Lineage: Eukaryota; Viridiplantae; Chlorophyta; Trebouxiophyceae; Chlorellales; Chlorellaceae
Description: 5.8S ribosomal RNA
Rfam family: 5.8S ribosomal RNA
About the family: 5.8S ribosomal RNA (5.8S rRNA) is a component of the large subunit of the eukaryotic ribosome.
Source: Rfam by way of RNAcentral
AACUCUCAACAAUGGAUAUCUUGGCUCCCGUAUCGAUGAAGAACGCAGCGAAAUGCGAUACCUAGUGUGAAUUGCAGAAUUCCGUGAACCAUCGAGUUUUUGAACGCACAUUGCGCUGUUGUUUUGUGGCCCUGGUCGAGCAUUCUUGUUUGUCUAGGGUUGCCAGCAGCAUGUCUGGCUCAGUGUCG